AAUUGGAGGGCAAGUCUGGUGCCAGCAGCCGCGGUAAUUCCAGCUCCAAUAGCGUAUAUUAGAGUUGUUGCAGUUAAAAAGCUCGUAGUUGAAUUUCGGGAUCAAUAUUUCGGUCAUGCCGUUGGUAUGCACUGUUAUCAUUGAUUUCUCACCUUCUAAAGAACCGUAAUGCCAUUAAUUUGGUGUUACGGGGAAUUAGGACUGUUACCUUGAAAAAAUUAGAGUGUUUAAAGCAGGCUCACGCUUGAAUACAUUAGCAUGGAAUAAUGAAAUAGGACAUCCGAUUCUAUUUUGUUGGUUUCUAGGAUCGAUGUAAUGAUUAAUAGGGAUAGUUGGGGGCAUUAGUAUUCAAUUGUCAGAGGUGAAAUUCUUGGAUUUAUUGAAGACUAACUACUGCGAAAGCAUUUGCCAAGGAUGUUUUCAUUAAUCAAGAACGAAAGUUAGGGGAUCGAAGACGAUCAGAUACCGUCGUAGUCUUAACCAUAAACUAUGCCGACUAGGGAUCGGAUGAUGUUAAUUUUUUAAUGACUCAUUCGGCGCCUUACGGGAAACCAAAGUGU
RNAcentral lists this ribosomal RNA (560 nucleotides) under uncultured Glomus. Its description in RNAcentral is "SSU rRNA". It matches the Rfam family "Eukaryotic small subunit ribosomal RNA", at positions 546 to 1106 of the family's 1831-position model. Lineage: Eukaryota; Fungi; Glomeromycota; Glomeromycetes; Glomerales; Glomeraceae. The record is from RNAcentral.